AAGCCCCAGCCGGCUCCUUCUUGAAAGUCAUGUCCUGAGGCGGCGGGGGCGGCGUUUGGGAGGAGGCCGAGGCCGAGGCGGAGGCGGAGGCGGCGGAGGCCGGUGGUAGCCCGCAGGGCGGCGGGUGCUGGGCCUGCGGCGGCGCGGCCGCGCGGCUACUCAACUGGUCUAAUAAAAGUUAUUGCAUCCACUCAAAGAACCUUGCCUGGAAAGCCCAGGGGAGAUGAAAGCACCCUGCCUCAAGAAACCAUAGAUCACCCCUGCAGCCAAGGCUCCGCAUUAGCAGACGAUGGUAGCCAAGUCCUGCUAGCGAAACCCACUGCCUUGAGAUACUCCAAGCAGACUUACCUCUGUGUUGUACACCCCAUAUAUCAGGAAGAUGAAGAGACCCUGUAAAAUAAAAUGGAGGGAAAAAGCUGUUAACUCUAAUCA
This 432-nucleotide long non-coding RNA is filed under the name Crocodylus porosus (Australian saltwater crocodile). RNAcentral describes it as "lncRNA (ENSCPRG00005017817.1)". The record is from RNAcentral. Lineage: Eukaryota; Metazoa; Chordata; Crocodylia; Crocodylidae.